This is a long non-coding RNA of Pomacea canaliculata, 1939 nucleotides long. RefSeq lists it as uncharacterized. NCBI's taxonomy places the organism in Eukaryota, Metazoa, Mollusca, Gastropoda, Architaenioglossa, Ampullariidae. The transcript has 2 exons. The record is from RefSeq and is a predicted model, not a curated record.
GAGGUAUGAGACAGACAUCACAAUUGAGCACAAACAAGCACAACACGUGAACGUAUAUAAGCUUUACCACCCAGACAUCUGUUUACAUAUUUCUACAUGGUUGUGUAGGACAUGACCUCGUCACACGUGGUUCACCUCUAAGGUAACGAUCUCCACGCAAUCAGAUGCCGUUACUCUUCGCCAGGUGAUAUCUGGUCUUCCCUGUAUGCUCCUUCUUUGUGGCAGUGUCCCUCCAAACUUAGUCAUGCAUCUCUUUCCCGUGAGACAUGUUCUGUUCUUAUCUAGUGAACGCUCCUUACAAGUCUGAGUAUGUGCUAUAUAAAUCUCGCAUUUUCUAUUAUGAUUAUUGGACAAUGCUUCAUGGAAGGAUGACAACUUUCUUAGAUCAUUGUGUAUCGUCAGCCUCAGGCCGUUUAAAACACAGCUACAAUAUCAAAUGAAUGUUCAUAUAAAUUCAAACUGCUCAAGGCUCUAGAGGUAAUUUCAGUCUUCUUGUCGGUCCUGGCUAUUCCGCCCAGCAUCUACUUGUCUUCUUGCAGAGGAGCCACCACCAAAAUGGCCGCAACGGAUGUGACCUUUUCAAAAUGGCCGCUCCGGAUAUGACAUCACCAAAAUGGCCGCAACGGAUGCGUUCUCAUCAAGAUGGCCGCCCCCAUAGAGACUUCCGCCAAUAUAGCCGCUUCUGGCUGUUACGUCACCGCUCCCAAAUGGGGGAUGGAUAGCACAUGCCUAUACUAUUAUCAUUCUAUUCCUCUCAAAGCGGGAAAUAGUCAUUUCUCUAGUGUGUAUUUGGUUACUUUAUUUAGGGUGACGAACCUUUAAAACUUGAGACAGCUUACACAUGUAAAGUACCAUAUAUUAGCAUACUACGCGCGUUCGUGUGUGUGUGUGUGUUUGCAUGCGCUCACACAUGUGAGUGUAUGAGUGUAUGCUUCUGAGAGAAAGAGAGCAGUUAUUUUAGUAAAGAGUCGCUCUGUUUUUGUAACAUCUAUUGUUUUGUUUUUUUAAUUUUAAAAAAUGGGAUGCGAGAAAUGAAAGAAGAGGGAGAGAGUAUGUAAUGUACUGAUAUGCUAUCUUAUAAUAUCGAGCUGAGAGGAGAGAUGGAAGAGAGUAUAAAAACCAAAAGUAUGUUCCUUCAUCGCAAUCCUUGGGAAAAGAAAUAUUUCUCUCAAAGUGCUUCACUUCCUUUCAAUUAUAUAUUUAUUUUGAGACUUGGUUUUGGAGUAAAGAGUUACUCUUUCGCGCUGCCUACCAUUUAUUUAUGAAGCUUCAGUAUAUUUGUUUACAGCCAAGAUGUGUAUGUACAUAUUUAUUUACCUGAAGCUUAGCAAUACAACAAAUAAUCCUGCUUCAGCGUGUGUUGAAAACUUAUAAAAAAUGCAACACAAGAAAUAGUAAGAUAUAUUCACACACACACACCUUUUUAAAAAUGAAUUUCUGUCACUAUCACACAUUUGAUGAAUACAUUUAGUCCACAUGCACACACUGCGGAAUCUUUCUCUGUCCUCCAUAUCUCUCACACAUACGCACAGGCAAACAUACACCAGGCACCAUCCUCACUCCACCUCCACCCCUAGACCCCCCUUCCUAUUUACUUCACAGCCUUGGCACAAAAUAAUAAUAAGCACAGUACACAGCUAAUUCUAACCGACAUCGAACUGCACUACAUUAUAUGUAACAAUCCAAAUCUCUAGACUUUCUUUACUUUUUCUGCGAUGUGAAUUGUUUGAGGAAGUAUUGUUAAAGAUUUUAAACUUUACUACAAUAACCGAAAUUAUUUGGAGGACUAUACUAACACACCCUGUCUACCACCGACAUAAGGUGAACCAGGAACAUAACAAGGCAAGGGAGACAAUCGCUAUGCUAGUUAUUGAACUAUCAUGGCGAUGGUAAAAUCACUUCCUAGGUAGCAAAAAAAAAAAAAAGAAAAAAAAAAAAA